Molecule: ribosomal RNA, 815 nt
Filed under: Streptomyces sp.
Lineage: Bacteria; Bacillati; Actinomycetota; Actinomycetes; Kitasatosporales; Streptomycetaceae
Description: bacterial SSU rRNA
Rfam family: Bacterial small subunit ribosomal RNA
Source: RNAcentral
UGAUAGUGGCGACGGGUGAGUACACGUGGGCAAUCUGCCCUGCACUCUGGGACAAGCCCUGGAAACGGGGUCUAAUACCGGAUACGACACGGGACCGCAUGGUCUUCGUGUGGAAAGCUCCGGCGGUGCAGGAUGAGCCCGCGGCCUAUCAGCUUGUUGGUGAGGUAAUGGCUCACCAAGGCGACGACGGGUAGCCGGCCUGAGAGGGCGACCGGCCACACUGGGACUGAGACACGGCCCAGACUCCUACGGGAGGCAGCAGUGGGGAAUAUUGCACAAUGGGCGAAAGCCUGAUGCAGCGACGCCGCGUGAGGGAUGACGGCCUUCGGGUUGUAAACCUCUUUCAGCAGGGAAGAAGCGAAAGUGACGGUACCUGCAGAAGAAGCGCCGGCUAACUACGUGCCAGCAGCCGCGGUAAUACGUAGGGCGCAAGCGUUGUCCGGAAUUAUUGGGCGUAAAGAGCUCGUAGGCGGCUUGUCACGUCGGAUGUGAAAGCCCGGGGCUUAACCCCGGGUCUGCAUUCGAUACGGGCAGGCUAGAGUUCGGUAGGGGAGAUCGGAAUUCCUGGUGUAGCGGUGAAAUGCGCAGAUAUCAGGAGGAACACCGGUGGCGAAGGCGGAUCUCUGGGCCGAUACUGACGCUGAGGAGCGAAAGCGUGGGGAGCGAACAGGAUUAGAUACCCUGGUAGUCCACGCCGUAAACGGUGGGCACUAUGUGUGGGCAACAUUCCACGUUGUCCGUGCCGCAGCUAACGCAUUAAGUGCCCCGCCUGGGGAGUACGGCCGCAAGGCUAAAACUCAAAGGAAAUUGACGGG